UGUAUUAGGUUGAUGCAAAAGUAUUUGUGGCUUUUGCCAUUGAAAGAAAUGGCAAAAACCACAAUUACUUUUGCACCAAACUAUACAAG
This 89-nucleotide microRNA precursor is filed under the name Chlorocebus sabaeus (green monkey). RNAcentral describes it as "miRNA (ENSCSAG00000023602.1)". Lineage: Eukaryota; Metazoa; Chordata; Mammalia; Primates; Cercopithecidae. The record is from RNAcentral.